UCUCUGUUAGUAUAUCGGUUAGUACACGUGCUUGUCAUGUUCCGGGAGUAAUCCUGAUAGUUGAACGCGCGAAAACGGGGUUCAAUUCCCCGACAGAGAG
Gelatoporia subvermispora B is the source of this 100-nucleotide non-coding RNA. The record is from the annotation of a GenBank genome assembly. Lineage: Eukaryota; Fungi; Basidiomycota; Agaricomycetes; Polyporales; Gelatoporiaceae.